UUCAGACAGGCAUCUUUUAACGUCUAGACAAUGGAGCCUCCUUUCAUUAUUGUUCUUUGGGGACUGACACAAGGAUGGAAGAAAAAUGUCUUGGGUUCUAUGAAACAGGGAGACCACUUUAGGUAGAAAAGAAGGAUCUGGUUUAAUGAGCACUCUAUCCUCCAGGAUGUUAGUAUAAGGGCUCACGCACACGACCGAGAGCGGUCGGCGG
This is a long non-coding RNA of Bufo bufo (common toad), 211 nucleotides long. RefSeq lists it as uncharacterized. Lineage: Eukaryota; Metazoa; Chordata; Amphibia; Anura; Bufonidae. The transcript has 3 exons. The record is from RefSeq and is a predicted model, not a curated record.